GACGAACGCUGGCGGCGUGCUUAACACAUGCAAGUCGAACGGAAAGGCCCAGCUUGCUGGGUACUCGAGUGGCGAACGGGUGAGUAACACGUGGGUGAUCUGCCCUGCACUCUGGGAUAAGCCUGGGAAACUGGGUCUAAUACCGGAUAUGACCAACUGUCGCAUGGUGGUUGGUGGAAAGCUUUUGCGGUGUGGGAUGGGCCCGCGGCCUAUCAGCUUGUUGGUGGGGUAAUGGCCUACCAAGGCGACGACGGGUAGCCGACCUGAGAGGGUGAUCGGCCACACUGGGACUGAGACACGGCCCAGACUCCUACGGGAGGCAGCAGUGGGGAAUAUUGCACAAUGGGCGCAAGCCUGAUGCAGCGACGCCGCGUGAGGGAUGGACGGCCUUCGGGUGUAAACCUCUUUUUCACCGGACGAAGCGAGUGACGGUACCUGGAGAAGAAGCAC
RNAcentral lists this ribosomal RNA (450 nucleotides) under uncultured bacterium. RNAcentral describes it as "bacterial SSU rRNA". It matches the Rfam family "Bacterial small subunit ribosomal RNA", at positions 28 to 493 of the family's 1533-position model. The record is from RNAcentral.